GACGAACGCUGGCGGCGUGCUUAACACAUGCAAGUCGAACGAAGAGCGAUGGAAGCUUGCUUCUAUCAAUCUUAGUGGCGAACGGGUGAGUAACGCGUAAUCAACCUGCCCUUCAGAGGGGGACAACAGUUGGAAACGACUGCUAAUACCGCAUACGAUCUAAUCUCGGCAUCGAGGAUAGAUGAAAGGUGGCCUCUACAUGUAAGCUAUCACUGAAGGAGGGGAUUGCGUCUGAUUAGCUAGUUGGAGGGGUAACGGCCCACCAAGGCGAUGAUCAGUAGCCGGUCUGAGAGGACGAACGGCCACAUUGGGACUGAGACACGGCCCAGACUCCUACGGGAGGCAGCAGUGGGGAAUCUUCCGCAAUGGACGAAAGUCUGACGGAGCAACGCCGCGUGAGUGAUGACGGCCUUCGGGUUGUAAAGCUCUGUUAAUCGGGACGAAAGGCCUUCUUGCGAAUAGUGAGAAGGAUUGACGGUACCGGAAUAGAAAGCCACGGCUAACUACGUG
This 510-nucleotide ribosomal RNA is filed under the name uncultured bacterium. RNAcentral describes it as "partial 16S ribosomal RNA". It matches the Rfam family "Bacterial small subunit ribosomal RNA", at positions 28 to 507 of the family's 1533-position model. The record is from RNAcentral.